This 27-nucleotide non-coding RNA is filed under the name Rattus norvegicus (Norway rat). The record is from RNAcentral. Lineage: Eukaryota; Metazoa; Chordata; Mammalia; Rodentia; Muridae.
UGAGAAAGGUAGAUGACCAGACAUGGU